AAUUCGCCCUUAGAGUUUGAUCCUGGCUCAGAACGAACGCUGGCGGCAGGCCUAACACAUGCAAGUCGAGCGCGCCUUCGGGUGAGCGGCGGACGGGUUAGUAACGCGUGGGAACGUGCCCUUCUCUACGGAAUAGCCUCUGGAAACGGAGAGUAAUACCGUAUACGCCCUUUGGGGGAAAGAUUUAUCGGAGAAGGAUCGGCCCGCGUUAGAUUAGGUAGUUGGUGGGGUAACGGCCUACCAAGCCUACGAUCUAUAGCUGGUUUUAGAGGAUGAUCAGCAACACUGGGACUGAGACACGGCCCAGACUCCUACGGGAGGCAGCAGUGGGGAAUCUUAGACAAUGGGGGCAACCCUGAUCUAGCCAUGCCGCGUGAGUGAUGAAGGCCUUAGGGUCGUAAAGCUCUUUCGCCUGUGAUGAUAAUGACAGUAGCAGGUAAAGAAACCCCGGCUAACUCCGUGCCAGCAGCCGCGGUAAUACGGAGGGGGUUAGCGUUGUUCGGAAUUACUGGGCGUAAAGCGCGCGUAGGCGGAUUAGAAAGUUGGGGGUGAAAUCCCGGGGCUCAACCUCGGAACUGCCUCCAAAACUGCUAGUCUAGAGUUCGAGAGA
This 610-nucleotide ribosomal RNA is filed under the name uncultured Alphaproteobacteria bacterium. RNAcentral describes it as "bacterial SSU rRNA". It matches the Rfam family "Bacterial small subunit ribosomal RNA", at positions 1 to 655 of the family's 1533-position model. The record is from RNAcentral. Lineage: Bacteria; Pseudomonadati; Pseudomonadota; Alphaproteobacteria.